AUGAGGGUGCAGAGAUUGAUGGUCAUUCACUUUGGGGAAACGAUGACGCCUCUUUAGACCCUAUACGUGUUCCUUCUGCAGCGGAACUUGAGGCUUACGCUUUACCCACGAAAGGAAAAUCCAAUGCAAAGAAUGACUCACAGCAAAUUGACCCUACAGGUACAAUUCUUAACUCUUGUGUAUUUUCAUUGCACUUUAAGCCCCUUUUUUUU
Molecule: long non-coding RNA, 212 nt
Filed under: Rosa chinensis
Lineage: Eukaryota; Viridiplantae; Streptophyta; Magnoliopsida; Rosales; Rosaceae
Description: sRNA RchiOBHm_Chr4g0411651
Source: RNAcentral